GCAAACUUGGUCAUUUAGAGGAAGUAAAAGUCGUAACAAGGUAACCGUAGGUGAACCUGCGGUUGGAUCAUUUGUGAAUAAUUGCCAGAAGGCGGCCGAGAGGCAGCUGGAGGCUUUUGGGCCGAAAGGCCCUUGACCCGGUGAAUUGUAUGGAGAGUGGCAAGGCGGCCUUUUGGGUAGCCCUUGGGUGUAGCCUUUGGCUCUUGCCAUUUAAACUUUAUGACUGAUUGUCUGAUUAAACUUAAAUUAAAAACAACUUUUGACAACGGAUCUCUUGGUUCUCGCAUCGAUGAAGAACGCAGC
This 303-nucleotide unclassified non-coding RNA is filed under the name uncultured fungus. RNAcentral's name for it is "partial contains small subunit ribosomal RNA, internal transcribed spacer 1, and 5.8S ribosomal RNA". The stretch from base 1 to 73 matches the Rfam family "Eukaryotic small subunit ribosomal RNA", at positions 1759 to 1831 of the family's 1831-position model. The record is from RNAcentral. Lineage: Eukaryota; Fungi.